AUCCAUCUGACGAGUCCCAAUAGGAGGAAACACGCAUCCUGGAU
This 44-nucleotide non-coding RNA is filed under the name Schistosoma haematobium. The record is from RNAcentral. Lineage: Eukaryota; Metazoa; Platyhelminthes; Trematoda; Strigeidida; Schistosomatidae.